CAUAGCUUUUUGUUUCCUGUGGAAACAAAGGCAUAACCUCUCCCCCAAUGCAACAUAUUUCCUGACUUCCAUUCUGAAGUUAAGACAUCCUUAAAAUAUAUAGGCUAGUUUACUUCAGCAGUUUUUUCCCCACAACAAAGUCUCUAUUAUCUCUCAGCAGCUGUC
Peromyscus maniculatus bairdii (prairie deer mouse) is the source of this 165-nucleotide non-coding RNA. NCBI's taxonomy places the organism in Eukaryota, Metazoa, Chordata, Mammalia, Rodentia, Cricetidae. The record is from RefSeq and is a predicted model, not a curated record.